RNAcentral lists this ribosomal RNA (301 nucleotides) under uncultured bacterium. RNAcentral describes it as "partial 16S ribosomal RNA". It matches the Rfam family "Bacterial small subunit ribosomal RNA", at positions 509 to 807 of the family's 1533-position model. The record is from RNAcentral.
CAGCCGCCGCGGUAAUACGUAGGUGGCAAGCGUUGUCCGGAAUUAUUGGGCGUAAAGGGCUCGCAGGCGGUUUCUUAAGUCUGAUGUGAAAGCCCCCGGCUCAACCGGGGAGGGUCAUUGGAAACUGGGAAACUUGAGUGCAGAAGAGGAGAGUGGAAUUCCACGUGUAGCGGUGAAAUGCGUAGAGAUGUGGAGGAACACCAGUGGCGAAGGCGACUCUCUGGUCUGUAACUGACGCUGAGGAGCGAAAGCGUGUGGAGCGAACAGGAUUAGAUACCCGCGUAGUCCCUGUCUCUUAUAC